AUUCUUCCCAAGGAGGCGGCUGGAAAGGCAGCAGAGCAGCUGAGGCUCCAGAAAAGGCAGAACCAGGAGUGCUGAUGUCUGAGGGCAAAGAUGGAUAUCCCAACUCAAGCAGAGAGAUUGACUUCUCCCUUCCUCAGCCUUUUUGUUCUAUUCAGCCCUCAGUGGAUUAGCUGAUGACUGGCUAUAUUGUGAUAUUGGCAAGCUGAGUUUCUCCAAUGUCAUGAGAAGUUCCUCGAUCACAUCUGGAUCUUGAUUUUUCUGGAAUAUACUAUUAGAAAGACAGGAAAGAAAUUCUUUGGGUAGAGUCAUCCUUAUAUUACAGAUAACAGUUGACCCAAGUCAGACACAUUUCAUUCUAAGGCAUUUCCAUGUAACUAAAGACAGUGUAAAAUGAUUUUUUUCCCCAUUACCUGUGUGUGUGUGUGUGUGUGUUCCCGUGUGUGUGUGUGUAUGUGUGUAGGAACUGGGUCAUGUUGGCAGGUAGGUCAACUGCUGCCACAACUUUAAACAAAUAAACAAAAAGUUUAAACAAAUAAACAAAAAGACAAUACUUAACCGCAUGGGCAAUUGAUAGCAAAUCGGGGCUCUAAUUGGCACUGGUCAACCACUAUAUAAUGGGAGAAUGUAGUAUGCUCUAGCUGUGGCUGAACUACAGAGCAGGUCAGUGGCUCAGCCUCCUGGUUCCACCUUCCCAGGGGAGGCCUCCCUGCUUCAGAGGAAAGGCUUGAUGACUUUCCUGCAGAUGACCUCUGUGCUUGCCAUCCUACAAUCCAUUCUCUACACAGAAGCCUGAAUGAUGUUUAAGACAUAUAAUGAAUUGAUUGAUUGAUUGAUUUUGAUUGAUUUUGUAGCAAAUUUUUAUACAGAAUUAUUCUAGUCAUUACAAUUAGGUAUUUUUUUGUUUUUUGAGAUGGAGUCUCGCUCUGUCGCCCAGGAUGGAGUGCAUGAGCUAAGAUUGUACCACUGCACUCUCCCUGUAGACAAGGGGAAAUGGCACAGGGUGAAGACCAAAGAGAGGUCAAAGAACAGGUUAUGGCACUUUACAAAGUUAGGGUAAAGUCCUUGGAUGGUAUUUAAGUGUUAUGGGACUUCCUGGUAGACAUUUCCCCUUGUCUACUGUGCCCUGGCACAGAGGGUUUCUUUUGACCUCUGGAAGUGGUUAAAUUUGUUGCUGCGUUAGUGCCUUGCCUCCACCUGCUCUCUGCCAGCAAUAUUCUUCCAUUUCCCCACACAUGUUGUCUCCAUCUUGUCAAUCAGAAUUCACCUCCUCAGAGAUACUUCUCUGAUUGCCUAGUUCAUUGAUGAUUAUCAUAACCCUCUAUUUUCAAUUCUCUGCAUAAUAGUUUUCACUCUAAGUUAUUUUUAUUUCUUUGUUCAUUGUCAACCUCCCUCAUCUGCCAAUGCCUGAAUAAAAGCUUCAUAGGUACAGAGACUUUGUCCAGUCUUAUGAAUCUCUAAUCCUACUGUCUAGAACAGUGCCUCGUACAUAGUAGGCCUUCAAAAAUAAUUGUUAAAUGAACAAAUAAAUGUGAAAUUGAAGCAACAAUGCUGACCAUAAAACAUUGUGAAGAUUAAAUGAGAUAAUGUCUAUAAAGUGCUUAAAAUGGAAAUGGCACAUAAUAUAUUCAAUAAAUCAUUCUUAUUA
This 1645-nucleotide long non-coding RNA is filed under the name Macaca mulatta (Rhesus monkey). RNAcentral's name for it is "lncRNA (ENSMMUG00000062336.1)". Lineage: Eukaryota; Metazoa; Chordata; Mammalia; Primates; Cercopithecidae. The record is from RNAcentral.